Taeniopygia guttata (zebra finch) is the source of this 5782-nucleotide long non-coding RNA. The record is from Ensembl. Lineage: Eukaryota; Metazoa; Chordata; Aves; Passeriformes; Estrildidae.
UACAUGCUUUAAAGCUUUAUUUGGAAGUCUGGGCCCUUUAUUUGAAACAUAAAAGUAUACAAGUUAAAACACAGAUCACUGUAUCUUCAUAGUAUUGGGAGAGCUAGUGGUCCAGCCUGCACAUGUGAAAGGAAACAGAGAAUGUGCAGAGUGCCAAAGGCUUGCCUGGCAGGUAAGGGAGGAGGGAAAAGGAAUGCUGGACACUGGCUGACUAGCAGCUUCAGCCUACACACAAACAGCCUGGAUAUUGCCGAGAUUUAGUUGUAUUGUAGUUGAUGUAUAAUUAAUUCAUUUAAGCCUGGAUAAAUGUCUUUGUAAUUUUAAAUCUAAAUAAACCCCUUCAUCCAUUAGGGUACGAUGCAGUAUUUUGAGAUGUGUGUUCAUAUUUUGAAAUCUUGGGCACUUAAGUGAUUCUCCAGGUGGGCAGCUUUCAUGCUGCAGUUUAGUAUCAAAAGCAAAUUCCCCUACCUGGCAGCAGGGCUGUCCUGGAAAUGCCUUUCUGGCAUAACUAAGGCAGCCUCUGCUGGGCAUAGCAUCAUAGCAUGGCUCAGACAUCAGCAGUCCCUCUCCUGGCCGAGUGUGUGAACAGCUAUUCCUUGAUUCCUCGAGCUCUAGGAGACUUUUUUUUUUUUUUUUUUUUUUUUUUUUUUUUUUUUUCCCAGAUACUUAAUUGGUUUUUUUGCUGCAGAUACACAUAUAUUCUAAUACAAGUUUUAUGAAUGUCCUAAUACAUUUAUCCCUCCAUUUUUUUCUUUAAAAUAGGGGGGAAUAGGGGAAUUAUCUUUUAUGAUUUUUACAAAAUCAUAUGAAAGCUUUUCUGUAUUUCUGGUCUGUAAUUCUGGAUAAGGACCUGGAAGUGAGUUAAUAAAAGUUGUAAGCUACUCUAUUAACUGUAUCUGAUAGUAAUAACAGACCAACAUAAGAGAAAACUGUUCUUUUUAUUUAGGCUUAUUUAUUUAUCUUCUUUAACUAAUCAAGGUUGCACUAGUAUGCACCCCCUUGUGAAACAAUGAAAAGAGGGGAUAUUCCUGACCAUUAAGACUGGCUUUGACAGAUGAUUACACUGUAGGAAACACGCAAAUGUUCAGUCCAGCUUUAAUAUAGCAACACAACAGUAUCCAAUCCAGCUAGUAAAGAAGCUUUUUCAGUGGACUAAAUACUUCUGUCCCUCUUCCACCUGUACAAAAGUGACCUCUCUCUACCAAAGUGCAUUUUUGUUCUAUAUUUUCUUGUUUCAAUGACAUACAUGUCCAGGUACCUCUGAAUCUCUAGUUUCUACUUUUAGACUUAGAUAUCAAAGUUCCUAAUUGAGUUCAUGAGAUAAUUUUCUUUCCUCAUUAUGGUCUUCUAUUAACGUUUCUCAUUUCUCUGAGAUUUAUUAUCUAAUCUUUGCUUGCCAGUGGCUGAAAUACAUUUGCCAUUUGCUCUUGAGAGUUCUGGGUACAGUAAGAAAGAUAUGGAUUCUAAUCACAUUAAUUCUUAAAUGACUUUGCUAACAUUUUUCAUUCACUUUUUACCUCCCAUCCCUUUUGGGAUGGAAAUGAAGAAUGCAUAUCUGCUUAAUCAAAAACAGGCCUAAUCAAUAACACUUUUUUAGUGUGUAUAUAUUUAUAUAUAUGUAAAAACAUAUAUGUCAUGGCCCAUUCUCUCUAAUAGAAAAAGAAUAAAUUUGAGGUAGUAGCAUAUCAAAUAAAUUAUGGUGACGCUAUAGGGCCGGUAAUUUUUACUAUGCAGUAAAAUUAUAAUGAGAUAUAUAUUAUUAAAAAUAUUUUUAAUAAAUUGUCAGUUUUGUAAAAAUACCUUUCUGUUCAUCAGAAAAUCUCUAAACUUCAUCUUCAUCCAUGUGUACAUUUUUGAGAUACUUUGAGACGCCUCACUUGUUUCUGACUUCUGUCAACAUGUAUCUUACUCUUCUGAGGUAUUCAGAGUAUAUGUUGUUAUAAAAUAUACAACUGUGAUGUCACUGAAUCCAUAUUGAGCCUUAAGGGGAAAAUCCUAAUCUUACAAAACAAGAGAAAGAACUGUAACUUGUUCUCUAUGUCUUUUUGGAAGAAGCUUGCCUCAACCAGCCAAUAAGUCUCAAAAAAAAAAAAAAAAAGUAAUUUUGUGUUUAAAAGUUCUAGAGCGGACAUGGCAACAUAUUUUAAUAGUAUAUCUUUUUCAUAACCAUAAUGAGCUGAUGUAGUGUGGUUGCUUGGGAAAGGGCAGGUUUCAUGUGUAAGGAAUCAGUAUACACAUUAUUCGUUCAAAAAUACAUUUUUCUGCAAGACAGCUCCAUCCAAAAACUGGACAGUGAUGGUAUUUAAAUAUCUGUGCAAUAGAUGCUACUAGUGUUGCCAAAUGAACACUCAGCAACUGUGUCUGUAGGUGCUUGUGAUAAAAUGUGCUCCUAAGUUUUGUACCAUUUUAAUGAUAAAAUUAUUGCUAUCAUUGAUUUUUUCUUCUACUAUGAAGUAAUAGUCUUGAAACAUUCAAGAUGUUUAGAAGUAAAAUAAGUCUGCUCCUGCGUAUAGUUUUCCCAGUCAACACUGUCUUCAGUAGAAAAUAUAGUUGAAGAUUACAAAAGGGAUUUUCCUGUAUUUUCAAAGUUUAAUCAAAGAAUGAGAAAUAUAUCCCAAACCAAGAAGAAUCCAGAAAAAUGAUGCUCAAACAUCUGGUUUGCUCCCUUUUUCUUACCAACAGUUGUUUUUCACUCUCACAGUCUCCUGUUGCAGCUGUUCCACUUUGCUAGAAACGCCUCCAUUUUCAUGGGUACAUCUAUUUGAGACCUGUGGUUACCCACCUCUUUUGUCCUUCUGCAGCAACAUCUUUUUUUUUGCUUUGAUGUUUCCUAAAGAAACCUCAUCAGAGCUUCCUACCCUCUUUUUGCCCCUCUUGCUUACAGCCUUCACUGUAGUAGGCAUAAGGAAAAAACUCUUGACUUUGCACUGUAAUGCAAGUAAUCCUGUUAUUUCCAUGGCCCUUUUGGGCUGAUAUUCCAAGUUUCAAUUCCUUCUUCUGAAACACCCAUUUAAAUGCCAAUUAUUAUUAUUCCUGUCAGGACCACAUAAAUAUCAUAUACUGAGGUACUAAAACUUUAUUUCUCCUGCAAAAAAUCUUCCUGGUGUGUCAUAGGAUCACAACUGCUUUACAGUGUUACUUUACAUCAGUGAUUCAGAAGCACCUCUCUUCUCUGAUUCUGACUAAUGAACUGAAUUUAGCAACAGUAUAAAAGAAGCUACUUGCAGACAUGGGACACACUGUGCUGAAGAUCCUGACACAGCUGGAGCAUCCACCAGACGCACUACCUAAGGGGUACCCAGCAUAUCUGCACCCCUACACAUGAUCCUUUGACUAUCUCCCUGCACCCAUGCCCCUGUUCAUAGUGCAGUAGUAGUGGUCACUGUCUCCUGAGUAGACUCUGAGAAUCUUGAGGAAUCUUUCCCUUCUGUGAACACAAUGAAAGCUCUUCCUUUCUCUUUCUCAGUACUUUUUGUGCACAGAUUUAUUUCUGUUCCUCUCUCCUUUGAUGUUUCACGCCUUCUGAGAAGAAUAUAGUCAAUCACAAGGCCUUAACUAUUCAAGACCAUAAAGACUGCAUUUAAACUGUUACCCUUAAAGUCUUUGAAGUCCCCCCAGUCCAGCAUUAAUUUUCCUGGGUUACUCGCCUUGAGUUAAUUAGUUCUCUGUGCUCACUGCCCACAGCUUUGAUUUAUUUUGGAGGUUUCCUUAGUUGCUCAGAAAAUGAUUUCUUCUUUCUGCAUGUGAAUGAAAUGUAAAAAUGGUCUUCAGUAUUCUGCAAGAUUAUUAAUUCAGGAAGAUGAAAACCAUAUUGUCGUUCUCUAUGGUGAAACCUAUUAUUAUAUCACCAUUAAGUAGUGAUUAAAUAUACAUUGUCCUUGUAUAAAUAUAUUAUGUUAAUAGUACUUCCAUGAUCUUAUAAAACUUCAGGAUUAUUCCAAAACCAAUACAUGUAGAAAAUUCCAUUUUUUUAGUUGAUAAUGUAUUCAUUUUCCUCUACCACCUCAGUCCAUCAGACCACAGGUACAGAAAAGAGAUUGUGGACCAUAUGCAAAACUUCAGAUCUUAAAUAUGUUUCAUAAAUACUGUAUGAAAAUUGAGUUUUUAGGGGACUCAUCCUGAUACAUCCAGUAUAGAAAAACCUGCAGACAAAUCUGGGUUAAUAACACUAAAGCCAUGGAGUUACCUACCACUGAGUAUUCACCCUGCCAUCUGAAAGGUGCAAAUAUUAUCAAGCGACUUUUGUUGCUCCUAUUGGCAAACUCCAUGCUGUUAACAGAAUCUGAGCUGCUUUGAAGCUUCUUCACAUUCCUUUCCCAAAAAAAAAUCAGUAUUUAGAUGGUCUCACUCAAACACAGAUAUUUGGGUGGAAUAAUGUGCUAGUUCCUGUCAUUCUUCUGUGAAACACAUCCAAAGGACUCGCCUUCAAAGCAGUCUCUGAAGUGAAACCCUUGGAAAGAAUUAUGGGUCCUGUGGAAGUCAUGAGAACUGGUUGUAAUUUUAACACUACAGCUUGGGUUUGCCAGGUGACUGGAAUGCAGAGAUACAUAAAAACUUGAGGAAACACAGCAACAAUAUGCAACUGGUUGCAUAUGAUUAAUGUUUUACCAAGUGCAUUUUGACAGCGUUGAAGUACAAAAUACAUGAAAUAAUGAAAACUGCAAACAAGCAGUCUUUGUUUAAAUAAUGUCUGAAUAGUAUUCAGAAUCAACUUAAAUUUACUAUUUCAUUUUUAGCCAAAUAAAACCAUAUUGUCUCAUUUGAAAAGACAUACAUGGCUUUGCAAAUACUGUUUAUAAUUUUUGAGACUUGUUAUCAAAGCAUCUCGUGUAUUACAGAAGUAAAAAAUUCUUCAUUGAUAAAAUAUUUUUUUCAGUUUAAGGGAUGGAACACCAAAGACUCUUUUUACAUUUAAAAUAAUGGUCACCAAAUUAAAAUAUUAAUAGCAAUUAACUUUGAAAUAGUAGCUUUCCCAGAAUUUUGAUGAUGUAAUACAGGGACAACUUGAAGCCUGUGAUAUUGUUCUUAAAAUGGAACAGGCUGGUAAAAUGUGCAGGAAGCUGAGGAGAAAAAUGCCCUAAAAAAAAAAGACAAUUGGAUAUAUAAACGGUAUUUAAAUAAAAAAAAAAAUCUUUAUAGUCUCUUUGAAUAGCUUGGUCCAUUUGAUUUUUACAUUUUUUUUUUAAUGCAUGAUAAGAAUUUAUUAGAGGAAACAUAGUUUAUACCGAAUUAAAGAUAGACCUGCUGCUGGGCAGAAAGAAAAAAAAUGGUAUUUCCCAUUUCCUGAAUGUACUCAUGAGGGACUCAAUCUAGUCCUUUAUCAGUAAAAACCAGAGAAGAAAGAUCUUCUCUGCAAUCCAAACUACUCCAAUGAAAGCAUAUGAAAGCUACAAGUCUGACAAAUUGGGCUGCAUGCACAAUCUCUAAUAUAAACAGUGCACAAAGACUAUCAUGCAUAUUUUCUUCAGUUUCUUAAAUGUAAGCUGUUGGUGUUUUUUGGUAGACUGAUCUCUUUUUUUCCUUCUAGCUACAGAUUUUAAUAUAAGAUUUAGGUUUGGAGCAAUAGGAACAUCCUUAUACAAAUAGAAGCCCCUGCUAGUCCUUUAAAAUUUCAAAAACUAAAUAGAAUUCCAUUCAGCUACAAUUUUUUUUUCCUUGAAGAGAAACUGAUUGGGAAUUGUAAGAUCCACAUACUUUUUUUUUUUUUUUUUUUUUUUUUUUUUUUUUUUUGUGGAAAUAAUUCUGUUGGGAAACACAUAAUUAAAUACAUAAUAAAAAAAAA